This is a long non-coding RNA of Xiphophorus couchianus (Monterrey platyfish), 525 nucleotides long. RefSeq lists it as uncharacterized. NCBI's taxonomy places the organism in Eukaryota, Metazoa, Chordata, Actinopteri, Cyprinodontiformes, Poeciliidae. The transcript is spliced from 3 exons. The record is from RefSeq and is a predicted model, not a curated record.
ACUGAGCAGCAACAGACAGAAAACAGAAAAAAAAAAACAACAAAAAAACGCACGCUCUUCGACAUUAAACAACAACAACAAAAAGCUGCGUGCAUCACCAGAACCGGAAAUGUAAAUCGCGCAGGAUAAAAGCAAAGCAAACAAAAUCAAACGGAUGUGGGUGAACCUACCGAUCUGCUGGAAUCUCUCCGUUUGGAGCUGCGGCUCAACAUGACGCGCUGAUCCCAGAACAGCACAGGACCACAAACAUCACUAUACUUGUUUGAGAUGCUGAUUGAUGGACCAACACAGAGUGAUGUGUGAUUGUGAAGUGGAAGAUCUAUUCAACUGUGACAGGCAGAGCGUCACCAGAGGACGGCGUACAUUUUCCACAGUACCCUCCGCAGAUCCCUGUCACUCUGCUGCCAUCCUGUGGACACAGAAAUAAUGACAUGAGCUGACGCUUCAGUAAUUUUUCAAAACAAAUCAGUGAGCUGAAACUGAUUAAUUUAUUUCAAUCAUUUUAUUAAAAAGAGACAAAAAUAU